UUUCCGUAGGUGAACCUGCGGAAGGAUCAUCCAUAAUAAGUGUUUUAUGGCACUUUUUUAAAUCCAUAUCCACCUUGUGUGCAAUGUCAGGGUUGAUUUUUCUCUCGAGAGGAUCAGCCCCAAACAUCAACUAUAUCUCAACUCUUUGUCUGAAAAUAAUAUGAAUAAAACAAUUCAAAAUACAACUUUCAACAACGGAUCUCUUGGCUCUC
Molecule: unclassified non-coding RNA, 212 nt
Filed under: plant metagenome
Description: partial contains small subunit ribosomal RNA, internal transcribed spacer 1, and 5.8S ribosomal RNA
Source: RNAcentral